Camelina sativa (false flax) is the source of this 974-nucleotide long non-coding RNA. RefSeq lists it as uncharacterized. The record is from RefSeq and is a predicted model, not a curated record. Lineage: Eukaryota; Viridiplantae; Streptophyta; Magnoliopsida; Brassicales; Brassicaceae.
UCUGACACUACACUUACAAAAAAAACUCAUCAUCACUCUCGAAACUCUUUCAGAGAAACUCUCACUCUCAUUUCUUCGAAUCGCGAUGACUCUGUCCGGCCAAACCUCCAAAUCUCGUCUUUCAAGUCUUCUUUACUGUCUCUAGUCACCUUCCCCUUUUCUCUAUGUCUUUUGGAAGAAAACAAUUAGACCUAACCCUCGUUUACUCUCCCUCUCACUCAAUUAUUUCAUCUUCUCAAUCUUUUGCUCAAAAACAUUGAAGGAAACCACAUAUACUCAUCGAAAUCACUUGCUUUUUGGUCACCAAUUCCACAAAUUGGAAACCAUGCUUCUCCUCCGACGAAAUCCUCAAGGGGAUUUGAGGAACCGAAAUCGACAAGGGGAUUGAUGAUGGAAGGAAGAAGAAUCAUAGCAAACCCUAGACCUUGUGGCGGUAGAAGUGUUGUCGCAAAGAAGAGGUCUCGUCCCGAUGGAUUCGUCAACAGCGGUAAAAAGCUUAACGCCGAGAAAUCUCGCCUCAUAUGGAUCGAGCUUUCUCAAUCAGCACCACUCAAGAGAGAUUCUGAGACAUGCGUCUCGUGGACGAUGUCAUGAUUAGAAUAUAUGCUAACUGGUGCUACUGAACCAAACCUGUUUGCAUUAUGUGAGAAAAAGAGGGAUGGUCACACCACUAAGCUUCACAGCUUUGGAGUGUCUUUGCAGCUUCAGUUGUCGAAGAUGAUGUUUGGCUUACAGAGAAAGCCACAGCCAAGCACACUCUUCGACAGAGCUCAUGAUGUACAACUUUAUUUCAGAGCGGAAGGUACUUGAAGAAAUGAGUUGCUCUGGGAACAUUAGUGGGAAUUACUUAGGCUUCAAUGAUGGAAUACAAAGCAAUUGAGAAUGUGCUACAAACCAUUUAUUAUGUAGCUGUUCAUCUAUUUUUUUUUUCUAAUUAUGUUUUUUGAGGAUGAAGUAUUCUUAUUUUUAAUUAU